UUUUCUAUAAUAUUGUGUGCCUCUGCAGAGAUAGGGAAGCCAAGAAAGCCCUGUGGAGGAAAUCUAUAUGGAUUUCAUAAGUCGGUUACUCACUUUCUUUUCUCACAGUACAGGGAGCUUAGUUGAUGGUGUUAAGAACAGAAAUUGUAUUUCCAGUAAGAAAACACAAUAGUGCAUAUUGGAAUUCAACACAAUAGUGCAUACUGGAAUUCAACACAAUAGUGCAUACUGGAACUCACUUUUGAACUUUAGAAUAUGAUAAAGCUUGAUGGUACAUAAGUAGGUCUGUGAAACAUCUAUAUUAACCACAAUAUGCUACAUUUGACAGAUUCAUCUGGUAGAGAAAUAAGGAUCUCAGAAACUUCUGCUUCUACCCAUAAAGUUUAUACCAAUAUGGUCCAAGAAAGAGAUCCCUAGGUGGCUCGAUUUUAAAUGCCCCCCGAGUUUUUAUACAUAGAUAUGUAAAUGCAUACACAAGUUUCUUCUGAAAGAAUGAAUGAUGAUUCCCUCUGGAGAGAAUGGAUUAAACAGCACGUUUGUAUGGAGGUAGACUUUACUUUCUAUUCCUGUGCUAUUUUAUAAUAGUUAUAUACUCAUGUAUUUCUCAUGUAAUUUUCAAAAGUCUAAAAGAAAUGAAAAAAAUUACUUAAAAGAAUUACUUAUGGCUAACACACUGAUCAUUUAGGGAUAGAAUGCUGGUCUAGGAGCCAAGUGAUCUGCUAAAACCUGGCUGUGUCAUUUAACCUAAAAGGUUCUCUACUGAUUUGUAAAAUGAGGUGGCUGAAUUAGAUCAUUUCUUUGAUUCUAUGAUCCUUCUGUGUAAAUGGGAAAGCCAAUUUGAAUUAGAUGAAGUCUAAAUUAAAUAGUGCUUUAAAAGAAGUAUCAUUUUCUAACAUUAAGACAAUUUGAAUUAGAUGAAGUCUAAAUUAAAUAGUGCUUUAAAAGAAGUAUCAUUUUCUAACAUUAAGGUAAACUGACAGUUUCUCCAAGUUAUCCUUACCAUUUUGUUCAAGGUUUGCAGAAGCUGCCUUUAUAAAUCAGAAGAAUUUAUAAAGUAGGGAAUGCGAAGAGUUCUGUGAUGUUUGGGUUGAUGUUCUGGUAUCCCCUUUGGAGUCCCAAGCCUUACAAUGUACUAUGUCCAGCAAGCACGUUUAGAGACAAAAUAGCUUGAUGUGUUUUGAUCAUUUCAUCAAAGCUACUGAAAUCAAUUCUAUGCUUUCAUUUUUUAAGCUGGGUUAAAAAAAAGUUUAAUUGUCCCUUGUUGAAUGAACAGAACAGCUGGGGCUGGGUAGCUUUUUGUUCUCUCUUUUUGAGAGUAGGCUAAGAUGGAAAGCUAUUGUUUGAGGCAUACCAGAUUCUAGAGCACAACCAAAAGACCACAUAAAGCAAUUAGCCCAUAUUCCAAAAAUGCAACAAGUAAUAACUAUAGAAACUUGUUGGAGACCUUUGAAAUUCCCAUAUCAAGGAAAUACUCGAACUUCUAAGGCUUAGCUGUGAGAAGACCUGUUAAAUCUUUCUGGAGCACCUGGGCUUACUCAUGUUCUGAGCCUGCUAGCGUCUUGUUCAGGAGAGGAAAGACUGAGCGUAUGGCCUUAUUUCCUACUCGGGAAUGAGAAUGGACUUCUGCCGGGGACCCUGGAGAGGGAUUGAGGGUGAAGGAGCCUGUGUCAGAAAGUCAGUUCAAGAAAGUUGAAGGUCUCAGGGACAGAGCUGAGGUCAGAUUCAUCCAAGGGUUGAGAAAGGUAUCUGAUGAGUCACAGCCUCAGAAAAUCAUAAAGUGAUCUAAAUCCUGACCACAAACAAAUGUAAAUCAGAGAGACUGAGGGCCAUGUAACUGCCUGUAUCACUCCCAUCCCCCUGGCCAGAGAUGACACCCUCAAUGGACCCCUGUCUUAGUUCCUGGAAUUCUCUCCGAAGUUUGAGGUUCCAUCUGAACCAGAAGGACACAUGAGGAAAUGAGCUCGAGAGCCAAGAUGUCUGCUGAGUGAGCAGGCCACCCCGCCUCUACUGAGCACAAAGUACCCCAAAGCCCAAUGUAAAGUCCUGUUCCACUUUCUUGAACUGACUUUCUGACACCCAGAAACAUCCCCUUUGAGUAUUGCUCACAUUUCCUAACAGACCAGCACACUGUCUGAUACUAUCAAGAAAUAAACUAUCUUGUCCCUUCUGCAUGAAUAUAAUUCCAAAUCAAAGUGGAAUUGCAUUUUUCUCCUAUAUUCAUAAAAUAGGUUUGAUAAAAUGUUCUCAUAGUUUCCUGCAUUUCUUUUUUAAUAUGACAUUUUCUUCAUAUCACAGCUUUAGUACUUGCCUUAAUAUGGCAAAAUGAUAGUAAUUUCUGUACUUAUUUCAGGGACAAAUGUGCAAUGUGAUUUUUUAAACAUUAAUUUAAAGCAAAUUUGCUAUGCAUUUUUAUUCAAUCUUGAGCCUAAAGUGAAGCUUGUACUUAUGCAAACAGUAAGAUGAAUGCCUGGAUUUUAGUAAAAUAGUAAAAAAAAAAAAAAAACAACAAAAAACUAAUUAAAAGUUAAGUAGAUGGGGAUUUAAUCUCUUCAAUUUAAAAUCCCUUAGCUUAGAUCUCUCGUUAGAAGGGCUUCAUAAAAACAAGCUGUAAACAUUCUCCAUAAUUAAACACGAGUAUAUGAUCUAUGAAAAAACUUGGCCCUCAGGCCAUAUAUAUUUAAAUAUACAAAAUUACAUUUGUAUUUGAUUCUCUUGUAAUUAGCUCCAUCCUCCAGUGAAAUGCAUUUGGGUAUACAACUGUCUUGUUUCUAUACCUCCACCAGGGAUCAUAUUAAAAAAUGCUUCUUCCCAUAAACUGUGAAGUAUUAAUUGAUAAGCCACAGGGAACUUGCACUACAGCAUGUCCCUACCACUUAAUAUUGGUGUUGACUUAGUUUAUGGGAUUGAAUUAUUCAUCAGAAUCUUUUUACAUGAUGUCAUUGCAACCCAAGAGCUAAGAGCUGUCAGAGCAUCUACAGGAUAGUGAUGGAGAAAAGAGAAUUUUACUUAUAAACCAAAUAAUCACCUUAACUUAAUCCUUGUACUUCCCAUACUCAGUAACGGAAGCUUACUGCUAAAGCCCUAUCAUUUUUUAACAUGAAGGUAUUCAUGCACACCCAAAAUGGUCUAAAUUAAGCUGCAAUUCUGUGAGGCAGGAAAAAAAUACCUGGUUUAGGAGUCAGAAACUGUGAGCCUCAGUUGUACUUUACCUCUCUAGAAUCAUUUCUAUAAAUUCUAAAAUGAGGGUUUGGAUUAGUGAAGGGUUAAGAUUUCUUUCAGCUGUAACAUUUCAUUAGGAUUCUAUAAUGGUUAGAAAGUGCAAAGAAAGCAGCUGGUCUAUUUUGAUGCAUGAUAGAAAUAAAAACCAAAAGAAAAUAUGAUUUGCAAUACUCAAGUAAAUGAUGUGUAAUCUUCUCCCCACCCCCAAGACUUUUGGUUCCCUUCCUGUCAGGUUUGGUAUAUGAAAUUUUUGAUCACUUAAAACAGUUGCAGUUUAUAAUUAGAACAAUUACCUGCUGGAGGGGUAAGCACAUACAAACAAAGUACAGGGACUCAUCUCACCUCAUGUAUUCUAAAAACAAGAAUUCUGAAAAAUGCAAGAAUUUUUAAUCACUACCACUUGGGAUGUUUUGAACUAAUUAGUCAUUUAGGUAAUACUUUUAAAGUGUUAUUCUACUUUGUGUUAAAAGAAGAAUUAAGCCUGGUGUGGUGGUGCAUGCCUGUAGUCCCAGCUACUGGGGAGGGUGAGGUAGGAGGAUCACUUGAGCCCAGGAGUUUGAGUCUAGCCUGGGCAACAUACUGAGAUCCUGUCCCUUAAAAAAAAAAGUGCAAUUAACCAUAAUUAAAAUGUUCUACACAAGAAAUCUUACUAUAGCAGAACGUUAUAUCACAACAUCCUCAAACAUAAUAGUUCUGACUAAAACCAAAUACCUUAUAAUUCUUCCCUCUCCUUUCUAUCUUCCCUCUGAACAGGAAGGGGUGGUGCUUAUUUAGCAUCCGGGUCAUGGUCUAUGGAUAUCCUUAAUGGCUGGCUUUGUAUCAUCUUCAAGGAAUCUGCCUUCUUGCCCUGGUGUGGUGGCUCAUGCCUGUAAUCCCAGCACUUUGGGAGGCUGAGGCGGGUGGAUCACUUAGGAGUUUGAGACCAGCCUGGGCAACAUGGAGAAACACUGUCUCUACUUAAAACAGAAAAAUUAGCUAGGCAUGGUGGUGCAUGCCUGUAGUCCCAGCUACUUGGGAGGCUGAGGCGGGAGGAUCACCUGAACCUGGGACAUGGAGGUUGCAGUGAGUUGGGAUCGCACCAUGCCACUGCACUCCAGCCUCGGCCACAGGGCAAGACCCUGUCUCAAAAAAAAAAAACAAAAAAACAAAAAAAAGAGAGAGAGAAUUCUGCCUUCCUUUUAUUUCAUUUUUAUUUCAGAAGAAUAACAGAAUUCAACGGAACUAAGUCUAGCUUUUGUUUUCUUCUUCUCUUUAGCAAGUUCCUUAGCUCCUUCAGUCCUUCUGCUAAGUGAGCACGGUGUUUAUAAAGAGAGACGAUUUAAAGAUGACUGAAGACAGAUGUUAAAUUUGAAUGGUUUCUUACUUUCCUAGUUUCACAAGUUAGGGUCUUAGAAGUUGCCAAGCAGUACUAGGAUACUCCUCUAGGACUGAGAUGUGCAAUUCCGAGCAAAUGUGCAGUGUGCAGUAUUGAUUUCCAGCCUCCUUUUAAACUCCUUCAAGUCUGUGCUAUUAAACGGAGACAACCACAUCAAGAUAGAGUCUGUCAUAGGAUUCCCUGAAGCACAGAAUGAGAAGGAGACUGAGCAAACACGACCCGGGAAGGCACCAGUUGAACCAAGACAACUCUGUAAGACAAAAAACAUGCAGUUUUAAACAUUCACGUAUCACCAGCAGACCACCACCUGUAUGCCGGAAGGAAUCUGCUCUGCAUUAAAAAGUACUUAUAAUAAAUGCACCCUGGAAGGCCUAGAAACUGGCUUUCAAUAAACAGUGACAAUCUGGAGAC
This is a long non-coding RNA of Nomascus leucogenys (northern white-cheeked gibbon), 5005 nucleotides long. RefSeq lists it as uncharacterized. NCBI's taxonomy places the organism in Eukaryota, Metazoa, Chordata, Mammalia, Primates, Hylobatidae. The transcript is spliced from 2 exons. The record is from RefSeq and is a predicted model, not a curated record.